CCCGCACAAGCAGCGGAGCGUGUGGUUUAAUUCGAUGUUACACGAAGAACCUUACCAGGGUUUGACAUGCAAGUGGUAGGAAGCCGAAAGGUGACCGACCCUUCGGGGAGCUUGCACAGGUGCUGCAUGGCUGUCGUCAGCUCGUGUCGUGAGAUGUUCGGUUAAGUCCGCUAACGAGCGCAACCCUCGCUGUGUGUUAUAUGUGUCACACGGGACUGCCGGUCUUAAGCCGGAGGAAGGUGGGGAUGAUGUCAAGUCAGCAUGGCCUUUAUAUCCUGGGCUACACACACGCUACAAUGGCCAACACAAUAGGUUGCUAAGCCGCGAGGUGGCGCCAAUCCAUAAAGUUGGUCUCAGUUCAGAUUGUAGGCUGCAACCCGCCUGCAUGAAGAUGGAGUUGCUAGUAAACGCAGGUCAGCCAUACUGCGUUGAAUACGUUCCCGGGGCUU
This 449-nucleotide ribosomal RNA is filed under the name uncultured Leptolinea sp. RNAcentral describes it as "bacterial SSU rRNA". It matches the Rfam family "Bacterial small subunit ribosomal RNA", at positions 920 to 1382 of the family's 1533-position model. Lineage: Bacteria; Bacillati; Chloroflexota; Anaerolineae; Anaerolineales; Anaerolineaceae. The record is from RNAcentral.